RNAcentral lists this ribosomal RNA (781 nucleotides) under uncultured Dialister sp. Its description in RNAcentral is "bacterial SSU rRNA". It matches the Rfam family "Bacterial small subunit ribosomal RNA", at positions 28 to 776 of the family's 1533-position model. Lineage: Bacteria; Bacillati; Bacillota; Negativicutes; Veillonellales; Veillonellaceae. The record is from RNAcentral.
GACGAACGCUGGCGGCGUGCUUAACACAUGCAAGUCGAACGGGAAGACAUGAAGAGCUUGCUCUUUAUGAAAUCCAGUGGCAAACGGGUGAGUAACACGUAAACAACCUGCCUUCAGGAUGGGGACAACAGACGGAAACGACUGCUAAUACCGAAUACGAUUCUUGAGUCGCAUGACACAAGAAAGAAAGGGUGGCCUCUACUUGUAAGCUAUCGCCUGAAGAGGGGUUUGCGUCCGAUUAGGUAGUUGGUGAGGUAACGGCCCACCAAGCCGACGAUCGGUAGCCGGUCUGAGAGGAUGAACGGCCACAUUGGAACUGGGACACGGUCCAGACUCCUACGGGAGGCAGCAGUGGGGAAUCUUCCGCAAUGGGCGAAAGCCUGACGGAGCAACGCCGCGUGAGUGAAGACGGCCUUCGGGUUGUAAAACUCUGUGAUUCGGGACGAAAGAUAAGUAGACGAAUAAUCUGCAUAAGUGACGGUACCGAAAAAGCAAGCCACGGCUAACUACGUGCCAGCAGCCGCGGUAAUACGUAGGUGGCAAGCGUUGUCCGGAAUUAUUGGGCGUAAAGCGCGCGCAGGCGGCUACUUAAGUCCAUCUUAAAAGUGCGGGGCUUAACCCCGUGAUGGGAUGGAAACUGAGAAGCUGGAGUGUCGGAGAGGAAAGUGGAAUUCCUAGUGUAGCGGUGAAAUGCGUAGAGAUUAGGAAGAACACCGGUGGCGAAGGCGACUUUCUGGACGACAACUGACGCUUAGGCGCGAAAGCGUGGGGAGCAAACAGG